GCUGGGUGCAGUGGCCCACGCCUGUGAUCCCAGCAACUCGGGAGGCUGAGGCAGGAGGAUCACGAAUUCAAAGCCAGCCUCAG
This 83-nucleotide small RNA is filed under the name Marmota monax (woodchuck). The record is from RNAcentral. Lineage: Eukaryota; Metazoa; Chordata; Mammalia; Rodentia; Sciuridae.